GAUGAACGCUAGCUACAGGCUUAACACAUGCAAGUCGAGGGGUAACGAGAGGAAAGCUUGCUUUCCUUGUCGACGACCGGCGCACGGGUGAGUAACGCGUAUCCAACCUGCCCCCAACUAAGGAAUAACCUUGCGAAAGUAAGACUAAUACCUUAUAAUUUCCUCAGAUGACUUCUGACGAGGAAUAAAGAUUUAUCGGUUGUGGAUGGGGAUGCGACUGAUUAGCUUGUUGGCGGGGUAACGGCCCACCAAGGCAACGAUCAGUAGGGGUUCUGCGAGGAAGGGCCCCCACAUUGGAACUGAGACACGGGCCAAACUCGUACCGGAGGCAGCAGUGAGGAAUAUUGGUCCAUGGGCGGAAGCCUGAACCAGCCAAGUAGCGUGCAGGAUGACGGCCCUAUGGGUUGUAAACUGCUUUUAUACAGGAAUAAAGUUAGCCACGUGUGGUUAUUUGUAGGUACUGUAUGAGUAAGGACCGGCUAAUUCCUUGCCAUCCGCCGCAGUAA
Molecule: ribosomal RNA, 506 nt
Filed under: uncultured bacterium
Lineage: Bacteria
Description: partial 16S ribosomal RNA
Rfam family: Bacterial small subunit ribosomal RNA
Source: RNAcentral